Molecule: ribosomal RNA, 433 nt
Filed under: uncultured bacterium
Lineage: Bacteria
Description: partial 16S ribosomal RNA
Rfam family: Bacterial small subunit ribosomal RNA
Source: RNAcentral
CCCUCCCUCUGGCGGCAGGCCUAACACAUGCAAGUCGAGCGAGACCUUCGGGUCUAGCGGCGGACGGGUGAGUAACGCGUGGGAACGUGCCCUUUUCUACGGAAUAGCCUCGGGAAACUGAGCGUAAUACCGUAUACGCCCUUUGGGGGAAAGAUUUAUCGGAGAAGGAUCGGCCCGCGUUGGAUUAGGUAGUUGGUGGGGUAAUGGCCUACCAAGCCUACGAUCCAUAGCUGGUUUGAGAGGAUGAUCAGCCACACUGGGACUGAGACACGGCCCAGACUCCUACGGGAGGCAGCAGUGGGGAAUCUUAGACAAUGGGGGCAACCCUGAUCUAGCCAUGCCGCGUGAGUGAUGAAGGCCUUAGGGUUGUAAAGCUCUUUCAGCUGGGAAGAUAAUGACGGUACCAGCAGAAGAAGCCCCGGCUAACUCCGUG